UUAUAAAAUUUUAAACUAUUACUAUUUUAUGUUAAUAAUCUUUGUGUUGGUAGGCUUCAUUGAUGAUUUCCUCCCCACUUUACCCACACCCUCCUUCCUGCCCAGCCUAUAAUUGUAUAGCAUCUCUUCAAUGAAAGCUUCAUUGCAGACCAGGUUUGGACUUGCACAGUAGAUGACAUCAAAUUCCUUUGGCAGAAGAAGAUAAGGGGGAAAAUGGACUUCAUUUGACCUAUGGAAUUCUACCAUACUGAACAUAUGUCCCAAGGAAGAAAGAGGAAAAAAAUCAUUGAACAUCAGGUAUUUGCUUGGAAGCUUACUGCUGGAGCAGACGCAGCUUUUCCCGUGUAGCCUGCCAUGCUGGAGUUUGGAAGGUUUGGAAUGUAGGUGGAGGGAAUGGAGAACAACCACUAUGAAAGAAAUUCCCCUUUGUGAAAUUGCAUCUUAAACUCUUUUUGCCCCUUCUUUAUAAUCUUACAGCUGACCACAAAAAAAAAAAACAAGAGAU
This 505-nucleotide long non-coding RNA is filed under the name Monodelphis domestica (gray short-tailed opossum). RNAcentral describes it as "lncRNA (ENSMODG00000040398.1)". The record is from RNAcentral. Lineage: Eukaryota; Metazoa; Chordata; Mammalia; Didelphimorphia; Didelphidae.